This 458-nucleotide ribosomal RNA is filed under the name uncultured bacterium. RNAcentral describes it as "partial 16S ribosomal RNA". It matches the Rfam family "Bacterial small subunit ribosomal RNA", at positions 338 to 795 of the family's 1533-position model. The record is from RNAcentral.
CCUACGGGAGGCAGCAGUGGGGAAUAUUGCACAAUGGGGGAAACCCUGAUGCAGCGACGCCGCGUGAGUGAAGAAGUAUUUCGGUAUGUAAAGCUCUAUCAGCAGGGAAGAAAUAGCGACCUUUGGGUCGCCAGACGGUACCUGACUAAGAAGCCCCGGCUCACUACGUGCCAGCAGCCGCGGUAAUACGUAGGGGGCAAGCGUUAUCCGGAUUUACUGGGUGGAAAGGGAGCGUAGACGGCAGCACAAGUCUGAAGUGAAAUGCCGGGGCUUAACCCCGGAACUGCUUUGGAAACUGUGCAGCUAGAGUGCAGGAGAGGUGAGUGGAAUUCCGAGUGUAGCGGUGAAAUGCGUAGAUAUUAGGAGGAACACCAGUGGCGAAGGCGGCUUACUGGACUGUAACUGACGUUGAGGCUCGAAAGCGUGGGGAGCAAACAGGAUUAGAUACCCUAGUAGUC